UACGGAGGGAGCUAGCGUUGUUCGGAAUUACUGGGCGUAAAGCGCGCGUAGGCGGCUUUGUAAGUUAGAGGUGAAAGCCCGGGGCUCAACUCCGGAAUUGCCUUUAAGACUGCAUCGCUAGAAUUGUGGAGAGGUAAGUGGAAUUCCGAGUGUAGAGGUGAAAUUCGUAGAUAUUCGGAAGAACACCAGUGGCGAAGGCGACUUACUGGACACAUAUUGACGCUGAGGUGCGAAAGCGUGGGGAGCGAACAGG
RNAcentral lists this ribosomal RNA (253 nucleotides) under uncultured bacterium. Its description in RNAcentral is "partial 16S ribosomal RNA". It matches the Rfam family "Bacterial small subunit ribosomal RNA", at positions 524 to 776 of the family's 1533-position model. The record is from RNAcentral.